This 3760-nucleotide long non-coding RNA is filed under the name Anas platyrhynchos (mallard). RNAcentral's name for it is "lncRNA (ENSAPLG00020012413.1)". Lineage: Eukaryota; Metazoa; Chordata; Aves; Anseriformes; Anatidae. The record is from RNAcentral.
GCAUAAUGUUUUAUAACCUUCGUGAAGGUAUAAAACAUGCUGUUAACAAAAUUUCUUUUAUCAAAUUUGUGUUAUAUUGACUUCCUGGCCUUGGGCCCUCAGUUGGGAUAAAGAUGAAGAGUUUCUGGGAAAAGUGCUUAUGGCAGCCAAAGACUUCACAGAUGGACGGCUGCGAAGAGCUGGGCUCCCAAACACCCUAACAAGCUCACAACAAAUUUCUGCUGAGGUUUGGUUUCACCUGCUCGUGCAGACUUCCCACCUUGUAUGUCCCUAGCUGCAGAUGCAGAGCUUCGAAACAAAGUUUGGCCAGCUGUCAGUCACUUCUCUUGGUGCACAACUGGAAGGCACUGGGAUGCUACACUGGUGAGUGCAGUGAAAGGGAGCUCAGUGGUGUGUUCAUACGGCUUUUAUUGGGUUGAGAUGUUUGUCAGUGUAACAAAAGCUGUUCCUUGGCUUCAGUACCGGGGGUAUCUUGUUUGUGAUGCUGUGAUACUCGAAACAAAGACUUUGUGUGCAUGCUCUGCUUUCCUAGAAGCUAACAGCAGCUCCCAGCGGCAGGCUGCCUGGCUGUUGUGUACAUGGAUGCUCUCCAGCGCUAAUGUCACCAGACUAUCAAGUCAAAACACGCUGGUGCGCACGUGGCAUCUUUAUUUACCAGUCUGAGCCCAGCCAUUUCCACUGGGGAGGCACCGUGCUGACAGAAGAACUUGUUUUCUGGCAGCUGAUGAGACGAUCCUGCCCACACGUGCCAGUCCUUCUUCCAGAUGUCUGUAAACCAGCUUUUGGGGACACCUGAUGAAACUUGAUGGUUUGCUCCUGCUCUACAGUGCCAGGUGGAUUUGAACAGUGGUAUGUACUGAAUAUUCCAGCUUCCAAACCUCAGAAGAGACAUGGGGCACCUGGUGCUGGGAUGGCAAUCAGAGGAAGCACGGGGAUGGGAACAGAGCUCACUCCCCUUGGUUAUCCACUGUGACCUACAUGGCACAACAAAAAAACUGUUUCCUUCCAUCUCUUCCAGAAGCAUGUUUCCAUCUAAUGCAAGAGAAGCUGUGCCCACACGAUGGGCAGGACCACAGCAGGAGCUUGCUGCAGGGCUUCGCAGCCUUCCCCUGAGCAGAAAAGCCCGCAGCUGGCUCCCACCUCAGCCAGAAGCAACAUCUCAGCAUCCCCGUUUCUUCGUGUCACCCCACGUGAGCUGCUACAGGGACAGCAGACAGAGCUGCCCGGUUGCAGGAGUGCUGUGGGCAGCCAGAGGCCAGCGUUUCACGAUGAGAAGCGGGACCAGCUUUCAGCUUCCUCGUCUCUAGGGAGACUUCCCCUGAGACAGUUGCCAAAGGAUCUCUGGGAAGUGAUUAGCGUUUCGUUCAGGAACAGAAAGGUCAGCAAGCUAUGGAAUUAGCAAGGUUACAAUAUUAAUUACUCAGGAUCAGAUGCUAUUUGCGCUAUCCUAAUCUUCUUUUUUCUUGUUGUUUUUUUUUUUUUCUUUUUUCUUCUGACAAGCUGUAUGAACCUGCCUAGCUUUAGGGACUGUACGCUGUCACACCCACCAAGUCAGGGGGAUUCCCCAGGGUGUGCAGUGUCUUUAGGAUUGAUUGCUUACUCACUGCCCUCUCCCCCUAAGACCAAGAAGAUUCCUCAAGGCAUCAGAAUUACUUUGUAUGAACAAGUGGCCAAAUCUGGCCAUAGAUUUUAAAGAUUCACCAAGCCUCUCAUUUUAUUAUAUCUACGUUUAACUCUCCUGUUACUUUUGCAGAGGUAUUUAAUGUAAAUUCUGCCUUUUAUCCAACCUAUUCCUUCCAUAUAUUGAGCCUGCAAACAGUUACUACAGCUCUUAAUGGUGAAAGGUCCACCUCAGCGUGAUUCACUGCUGCUUCAAACUACGGCUGUUGUAAAUUGGUGGAAAGUAGACAGAAACACUGGUGUUUUGAUGAAAUAAUAUUUGAAAACCCACAUUCUGCUGAUGCAAAGGCCUGUAGGAGAUGGUGGAAAAUCAGUGCGCUGCUUUGAGUGCACUCAGGUGUUGCAGCAUGGUGAUAUGAGCAAAACAGAACUGGGACCCCUGCUCAUUUUGGGGGGCAAACUGUAGCAGGUCCCAGUUAUGACAAGGAUGGUGCAGAUAAGGUAGGAAGACCAUCACAGUGUAAUUCCCUGGGUAUCUGCCCAAAUCCUUGCUGGCCUGGUCGGAUGUGGGGGCCCUGGCAGCAAAGGCAGCGUGCACCAGAGCCUGGCCACCAGCAGAUGGAGGUCUCACCAGCGUGAGGCCAGAGUAAACUAUUUCCGUGGCAUUCAGACUCCAGAAUUAAAUAGCUGAGUGCAAAAGCAAACUAUGGCCAAGAAGGGCUCCUUUUCACAGUAGUUGGAAAACCAGGACUUGGGGAGGAGUUCAACAAAUUCCUGGGUUUCCAGCUCACACUAGCUGCUGUUAGCUUUCUAUUCAGCAUGGUUAUCAGACCAGAGUUUGGGGUUAAUCUCACUCUGUGGCACCAAGAGCCUGGGAAACAGCAAGGCAUUUGGAGAAAACCUGCUGAGAAGACAGUAACAAGCGCUGCUAAUGAGCCGGGGGGGAAUGGAGCAUGCACUGCACCAGAGGCACAGCAUCUUUCUGCAGGCAAAAAGAACUGACGUUUCGCCUGCUAGUCAGAUGCAUUUCCUCGGCAUAAAUAAAUAAUUUUCCUCCAUAUGGUGUGAUUAGUAGCUUUUGGCCAUUAUUAUGGACCAUCAGUAUUGCUGUUACGGUGGUAAAUAGCUCUAGCCACGGUCUGACCCCAGGGUGUGAGGCAUGGUGUGAAUGGGGCACAGGCUGACCCUUCAGUGGGGUGUUCACAGGCUGGCAGGGAAGGAGCUGCUGCCAGUCUCCAGCAAAUACCCAUUUCUUGGCUCUUCCAAUUAUCCGGGCAAAGCAGAGAGAGCCAGGCUCAGUGCUGAAAACUGCUGCACAUCCCAGCUCUUCUCCUGUCACUGCUGGGGCCUGGGGAGGGAGAAAUGGGGCAUCUCCAGUGCAGGCAGACCUGGCCACAACUUACAAUUCAGGAUCUCAGAGCUUGAGAUCCAUUCCAUGUCCUCCUAGGCAAACCAGGAGCUUUGCACUCCUGCCUUAAAAACAAAACAAAACAAAACAAACAAACAAAAAAAAAACAAAAAAACCCACAGGGAUCAGGAGAAGAGAUCAGGAGAAAAGAUGUUCCCUUCUAUAUAGCUUUAUUGCUUGCAUUAACAUUACUUACAAGCCUUAUUGCUUUCAGUUAAAGUCUGCUGGAGGAGGGAUCACCCGACUGAAAAAAAAAAAAAAAAAAAAAAAAGAUUUUAAGUCCAGGAAGAAAAGAAAAAGAGAGAGAGAGAGUUUAAGUCCACAGAGAAGAGGUAUAUUUUAAAUGCAUAAAAGAGACAUUUUUAAAUGCACAAAAAUAAAAUAAAAUAAAAUAUAUAUAUUUUAAGUCCACAAAAAGAGAUAUAUUUUAAGUCCACAAAAAAGAUAUAUUUAAGUCCACCAAAAAAAAAAAUAAUUUAAGUGCACAAGAAAAGAGGCAUAUUUCAAGUCCCCAAAACUUUUCGAUGCUUACUGAACACGCUGCGAGAAGCCGCCAGCCCUCCCUCUCUCCCCCCUCCCCUUGCCAGCACAUCGCUGCCUCCUUCCCCACCCCCGAGAGGUCCUCGGAAGCCCCGGGGCUCCCUCCCGGGGGGCGCAGCUCCCCCUUCCCCCGGCGGGGCGGCCCCGCUCGCACUUCCUGCUGCUGGCGGCGGGGCGAGGCGGCCCCGGCCG